AGGACUCAGAGACUGGGAUCAUGACUCAUGGGACCCUCCUUUUACUCCUCUCGGAGGCCCUAGCCCUUACCGAGACCUGGGCGGGUGAGUGCGGGGUCGGGAUGGAAACCGCCUCUACCGGGAGUAGAGAGGGGCCGCCCCGGCGGGGACGCAGGACUCAGGGACCCGCGCCCGUAGGAGGGUCGGGCCGAUCUCAGCCCCUCCUUGCCCCCAGGCUCCCACUCCUUGAAGUAUUUCCACACUUCCGUGUCCCGGCCCGGCCGCGGGGAGCCCCGCUUCAUCUCUGUGGGCUACGUGGACGACACCCAGUUCGUGCGCUUUGACAACGACGCCGCGAGUCCGAGGAUGGUGCCGCGGGCGCAGUGGAUGGAGCAGGAGGGGCCAGAGUAUUGGGACCGGGAGACACGGAGCGCCAGGGACACCGCACAGACUUUCCGAGUGAACCUGCGGACCCUGCGCGGCUACUACAAUCAGACCGAGGCCGGGUCUCACACCCUGCAGUGGAUGCAUGGCUGCGACCUGGGGCCCGACGGGCGCUUCCUCCGCGGGUAUGAACAGUUCGCCUACGACGGCAAGGAUUAUCUCACCCUGAAUGAGGACCUGCGCUCCUGGACCGCGGUGGACACGGCGGCUCAGAUCUCCGAGCGAAAGUCAAAUGAUGCCUGUGAGGCGGAGCACCAGAGAGCCUACCUGGAAGACACAUGCGUGGAGUGGCUCCGCAAAUACCUGGAGAAGGGGAAGGAGACGCUGCUUCACCUGGAUCCCCCAAAGACACAUGUGACCCACCACCGCAUCUCUGACCAUGAGGCCACCCUGAGGUGCUGGGCCCUGGGCUUCUACCCUGCGGAGAUCACACUGACCUGGCAGCGGGAUGGGGAGGACCAGAACCAGUACACAGAGCUUGUGG
RNAcentral lists this small RNA (907 nucleotides) under Pongo abelii (Sumatran orangutan). RNAcentral describes it as "retained intron". The record is from RNAcentral. Lineage: Eukaryota; Metazoa; Chordata; Mammalia; Primates; Hominidae.